Molecule: ribosomal RNA, 468 nt
Filed under: uncultured bacterium
Lineage: Bacteria
Description: partial 16S ribosomal RNA
Rfam family: Bacterial small subunit ribosomal RNA
Source: RNAcentral
GACGAACGCUGGCGGCGUGCUUAACACAUGCAAGUCGAACGGAAAGGCCCUUUUUUUGUUGGGUGCUCGAGUGGCGAACGGGUGAGUAACACGUGAGUAACCUGCCCUUGACUUUGGGAUAACUUCAGGAAACUGGGGCUAAUACCGGAUAGGAGCUCCUGCUGCAUGGUGGUGGUUGGAAAGUUUCGGUGGUGUGGGAUGGACUCGCGGCUUAUCAGCUUGUUGGUGGGGUAGUGGCUUACCAGGGGGUUGACGGGUGGCCGGCCGGGGUGGGGGACCGGCAAAAUUGGGCUUGGGAAAGGGCCCGGACUCCUACGGGGGGAAGAGGGGGGGAAUAUUGCAAAAUGGGGGGAGGCCUGAUGCGGCAACGCGGCGUGCGGGAUAACGGCCUUGGGGUGGUAAACCGCUUUCGCAUGUGACGAAGCGUGAGUGACGGUACUGGGUAAAGAAGCACCGGCUAACUACGUG